Molecule: unclassified non-coding RNA, 405 nt
Filed under: soil metagenome
Description: partial contains 5.8S ribosomal RNA, internal transcribed spacer 2, and large subunit ribosomal RNA
Rfam family: 5.8S ribosomal RNA (bases 1-121)
Source: RNAcentral
GAUGAAGAACGCAGCGAAAUGCGAUAAGUAAUGUGAAUUGCAGAAUUCAGUGAAUCAUCGAAUCUUUGAACGCACCUUGCGCCCUUUGGCCAUUCCGAAGGGCAUGCCUGUUUGAGUAUCAUGAACACCUCAACUCUUUAUGGUUUUCCAUGAUGAGCUUGGACUUUGGGGGUUUUGCUGGCCUAUGGUCGGCUCCUCUAAAAUAAAUCAGCUUACCAGUGUUUGGUGGGUAUCAUGGGUGUGAUAACUAUCUACGCUUGUGGUUUUUCCGCCAGGUAACCUUCGACAGCGGAGGUUCACUGGAGCUCAUAGAUGUCUCUCCUCAGCGAGGACAGCCCUUUAAAUGUUUGAUCUCAAAUCAGGUAGGACUACCCGCUGAACUUAAGCAUAUCAAUAAGCGGAGGA